RNAcentral lists this long non-coding RNA (655 nucleotides) under Vulpes vulpes (red fox). RNAcentral describes it as "lncRNA (ENSVVUG00000009360.1)". Lineage: Eukaryota; Metazoa; Chordata; Mammalia; Carnivora; Canidae. The record is from RNAcentral.
CCCCCUAGACCGCCCCCUCCAGGCCCCGGGGCGAGAGUCUUAACUCUUUCGCUCCCGAAGACCCAGAGCCGAGGGAGGCCCUGCGGAAACCCUUCCCUUCGCCGCGGGCGCAGGCCGAAGCCUGCACCCCAAGGCUCCACACCACUCCAGGGCAAGGCCGGAGAGUCUGUGGAAGGGUCCAGUGUGUGGCUCAGAGAAACUUUGGAUUCCUCAAGAAAUCCAAACACUGAGGGGUGCAGACACUGCAGAAGGCAAGGAUAGUCAGACAAAUACAUUUGAUGACUCUCAAGCAAGUGCUAUCCAGUUUCACCCUUUCUGCCAGCAAGCCUUCCAUAUGUGCCACUCACUCCGACCAGAGUACCCUCCCAGUUCCUUUUCAGAAAUACCCUCUCAUUGUCCUUCUAUCAGAGCCUCUGAUGCACCUGGCAGGUGCAUCACUCAGCUUAUCAGACUCAGCCAGCUGAGACCACUCAGCUUAUCACUCCAGGGGUUAGAAUGCAUCCAUUUUCUCUUUUAGACUCCUUAAAUGCUUGUUUAAUUUUAUCCCUUUUUAAAAUUGUCCUUAUUUAGGCUUUGUAAUGGAAGAGAAUUUAAAAGAUAUAGACCCUGGUCCCACAAAAUUCAAAAAUAAAAGGAUGACUGUGGGUACUAAUCA